RNAcentral lists this small nuclear RNA (161 nucleotides) under Triticum aestivum (bread wheat). Its description in RNAcentral is "snRNA U1". It matches the Rfam family "U1 spliceosomal RNA". Rfam says of the family: U1 is a small nuclear RNA (snRNA) component of the spliceosome (involved in pre-mRNA splicing). Lineage: Eukaryota; Viridiplantae; Streptophyta; Magnoliopsida; Poales; Poaceae. The record is from RNAcentral.
GCACUUACCUGGACGGGGUCAACAGCCGAUCAAGAAGAGCUGUGGCCUAGAUCAAUGGCUCACAUUGCACCUUGUUGAGUGUGUUGGCCUACCAUCUCCCUACGGGGAGAGUGGACGUCAUAAUUUGUGCUAGAGGGGGUACGCGUUCGCGCGGCCCCUGC